AGAUCGGAAAACCAGGCCUGGGGUGUUAAUUGUGGCUAAUUUUCCCUUGGCUGUUGAGGGAGGGAGGAUUGUGUGUCCUAGAGCAAGAGGCUGGGCCAAGCCCUGGCUUUCCCCUCUGGCUGCAGCUGCCUCUACUUGGCCGGAGACGGGUCUGGCUGGUUAGUCUAGUGAUUGGUAGGGGUGGAAGGUGAUCCAGGGCCCCAUUUCUGUGAGGCAUCAGUUUGGCGUAAGAGCUUAGUUGGCAGGAAACAGCUCUGGUCCCCAAAGCUCUGGUCCCCAAACUUCAGCAGACCGGUAGGGUUCAGGGAGAAUGGAGGGUUAUCAGGGAAGAACCUGUCCUGAGUUCUCUGACAGAGCCUUCUGGGGAGAGAGUCAGGGACAUCAGGCUCACCCGUGUGUGUGUGUGUGUGUGUGUGUGUGUGUGUGUGUGUGUGUGUGUGAAUUUGAGACUGACUGCAUAUGUCUCGUGUGUCUGUGAUUAUAUCCUGUUUGUGUCCCUGUAAAGCGUGUGUGUGCGUGCGCGCGCGCGUGUGUGUGUGUGUGUGUGUGUGUGUGUGUGUGUGUGUGAGCUUGUGUGGGAAAAAUACAGAGGUGAAAGGUAAGGCUAUGGGAUAAAGGUACAGCCUCUGGGGAUAGAUUUAGAGGCAGACUGCAGUCCUCUGGGAGGGCUGCUGAGGGAAUUGCACAGACUUCCUUUUGCUGAGCUAGGAUGUGAAGGGGCAGACACUGGUCCUGUGGGCAAGAGGGCAGCUGGGAAUUUCUUUUGCUCCAGUCUGUGUUGGAGUGAUUAUCCAAGAAAAUGUAAACAGAGGCCUCUCUCUUGGUGAAAAGGAUGUCAGAGCCCCAGGGUGUUAGUGUGAGAACCCGGGUGUCCACCUUUGGCUCUCCCUUCUCAGCAUCUGGCUUAGGGAGCUGCCAGCUUGUGUCUCCCUACUCCAAGUGCUGGGGUCAGGCCAGGCCAGCAGCUGGGCAUGGCUUCCCCGCUUCCUGGGCAAGUUGCCAGCUGGCAAAGUGAGGGGGAAGGCAGGAGGAGCCCUGGCGAGGGCUGAAAGGACCUGCCACAGUCUGAGCCGGUGGCUAGAGUCUGGUCUCUUGUUAGUAGGAGGGGAGAAAAGGGAGUGGCUUGGCUACUCUUCCUUUCUGACCCUUGACCUCCCAUUCAGAACCAGAGGAUCCCAGAGUACUAGAAAUACUCAGUUUGCAUCCGUUGAAGGGCAGUGAAAUUUAGAGGAAUUAAUGCCUGGGUUCCUAGAGAGUACGACUGAGUCGGGAAGAAAGGGGACAAGGAAGAACCUCAGGGGUUUUCUGGUGCUCUUCUCUCCAAAGAUAAAGAUGAUAUCCGGCUGCUGCCUUCAGCAUUGGGUGUGAAGAAGAGAAAGCGAGGACCCAAAAAGCAGAAGGAAAACAAGCCAGGCAAGCCCCGGAAACGCAAGAAGCUUGACAGUGAAGAGGAAUUUGGCUCAGAGCGAGAUGAGUACCGGGAGAAGUCAGAGAGUGGAGGCAGCGAGUAUGGAACUGGACCUGGUCGGAAACGGAGAAGGAAGCACCGA
Mesocricetus auratus (golden hamster) is the source of this 1550-nucleotide long non-coding RNA. RefSeq lists it as uncharacterized. The transcript is spliced from 2 exons. The record is from RefSeq and is a predicted model, not a curated record. NCBI's taxonomy places the organism in Eukaryota, Metazoa, Chordata, Mammalia, Rodentia, Cricetidae.